Molecule: small nuclear RNA, 161 nt
Organism: Salvia splendens (bonfire salvia)
Lineage: Eukaryota; Viridiplantae; Streptophyta; Magnoliopsida; Lamiales; Lamiaceae
Product: U1 spliceosomal RNA
Exons: 1
Source: RefSeq, a predicted model, not a curated record
AUAAUUACCUGGACGGGGUCAAUGGGCGAUCCAUAAGGCCCAUUGUCUAGGUUGGCGACCUCCAUUGCACUUUGGAGGGGUGCCUGCCUAAGAUCGGCACAAGUGGUCGAGUCUGCGUCAUAAUUUGUUCUAGAGGGGGCAAGCGUUGGCGCGGCCCCUUC